GACGAACGCUGGCGGCGUGCUUAACACCUGCGAGUCGAACGGAAAGGCCCUGCUUUUGUGGGGUGCUCGAGUGGCGAACGGGUGAGUAACACGUGAGUAACCUGCCCUUGACUUUGGGAUAACUUCAGGAAACUGGGGCUAAUACCGGAUAGGAGCUCCUGCUGCAUGGUGGGGGUUGGAAAGUUUCGGCGGUUGGGGAUGGACUCGCGGCUUAUCAGCUUGUUGGUGGGGUAGUGGCUUACCAAGGCUUUGACGGGUGGCCGGCCUGAGAGGGUGACCGGCCACAUUGGGACUGAGAUACGGCCCAGACUCCUACGGGAGGCAGCAGUGGGGAAUAUUGCACAAUGGGCGGAAGCCUGAUGCAGCAACGCCGCGUGCGGGAUGACGGCCUUCGGGUUGUAAACCGCUUUCGCCUGUGACGAAGCGUGAGUGACGGUAAUGGGUAAAGAAGCACCGGCUAACUACGUG
This 468-nucleotide ribosomal RNA is filed under the name uncultured bacterium. RNAcentral describes it as "partial 16S ribosomal RNA". It matches the Rfam family "Bacterial small subunit ribosomal RNA", at positions 28 to 507 of the family's 1533-position model. The record is from RNAcentral.